This 468-nucleotide ribosomal RNA is filed under the name uncultured bacterium. RNAcentral's name for it is "bacterial SSU rRNA". It matches the Rfam family "Bacterial small subunit ribosomal RNA", at positions 329 to 794 of the family's 1533-position model. The record is from RNAcentral.
UUCCAGACUCCUACGGGAGGCAGCAGUGAGGAAUAUUGGUCAAUGGGCGGAAGCCUGAACCAGCCAAGUCGCGUGAGGGAAGAAGGCCCUGCGGGUCGCAGACCUCUUUGGACGGGGAGCAAGGCCGCCGACGUGUCGGCGGAAGGAGAGUACCCGUAGAACAAGCAUCGGCUAACUCCGUGCCAGCAGCCGCGGUAAUACGGAGGAUGCGAGCGUUAUCCGGAUUUAUUGGGUUUAAAGGGUGCGUAGGCGGAAGGUUAAGUCAGCGGUCAAAUGUCGGUGCUCAACGCCGGCCUGCCGUUGAAACUGGUCUUCUUGAGUGAGCGAGAAGUAUGCGGAAUGCGUGGUGUAGCGGUGAAAUGCAUAGAUAUCACGCAGAACUCCGAUUGCGAAGGCAGCAUACCGGCGCUCAACUGACGCUGAGGCACGAAAGCGUGGGGAUCGAACAGGAUUAGAUACCCUAGUAAU